Molecule: long non-coding RNA, 2457 nt
Organism: Oreochromis aureus
Lineage: Eukaryota; Metazoa; Chordata; Actinopteri; Cichliformes; Cichlidae
Source: Ensembl
CUGAGAGUACACCUUUGCUGGUUCUGUGGAGAACAGCUGGUUUAUUCUCCUGCCUUCUCUCUCUCUGGUGUACCUCCUCAAGCGGCUGGCCAAGGCUGUGAGUCUUUGCUUGGCAGUUUCCAAGGCCUCAGCCUCCUUCUCCAUGGAGGGUACUGCCCCUUGUGGCUGUUCAACUUGUAGCCAAGCAUCUCACUGAUCACUGCUGCCGUAGUGUUAGUGUCGGUAAUCGUGGUUGUAGGUAUCGUCCGUAGUGCUGCAUUAACAUCAUCUAGCAGACCUUCUGAGGGUACUUCACGUAAUCUUGGUAACCGGCUACGGGGGAUCCAGGUUUCAAGCUUGGCCAUGAUCCUAUCUUUCAGAUGCAGACGGACAAAAUGGUGGUGGCUAACCAACCGGACAUAGUGGUGGUAGACAAACAGAAGAAGACGGCUGUAGUGAUCGAUGUAGCGGUUCCGAAUGACAGCAAUAUCAGGAAGAAGGAACACGAGAAGCUGGAGAAAUACCAAGGGCUCAGAGAAGAGCUCGAGAGGAUGUGGAGGGUGAAGGUAACGGUGGUCCCCGUGGUAAUCGGAGCACUAGGUGCGGUGACUCCCAAGCUAGGCGAGUGGCUCCAGCAGAUCCCGGGAACAACAUCGGAGAUCUCUGUCCAGAAGAGCGCAGUCCUGGGAACAGCUAAGAUACUGCGCAGGACCCUCAAGCUCCCAGGCCUCUGGUAGAGGACCCGAGCUUGAAGGAUAAACCGCCCGCAGGGGCGUGCUGGGUGUUAUAUAUAUAUAUGUAUAUAUAUAUAUAUAUGUAUGUGUGUAUAAAAUAUAUGAAGUAACAUGUUGACAUAUAUUAAUAAAUUGACAUGUACUGUUUCUUCAUUAGCUACUUUUAGUAACAGAUUUUGCGUUAAAAAUUCUAAUUAUCUGGCUUGUUUGGCUUGACUGCAGAUUUCAGUUGUUUGUAGACAUAUUUCAUCUCUAUGGUUAUUUUUCGGUCAAAUGGAAAUAACAUUUGCCUUUAGGCGACAAUACAAAUAGAACUGAAUUGAUUCUCUAAUCCUAUCAUACCUUUAUUCACAUAAAUGUUUGAGAAUCGUCGAGGAAAAAAUUUUUGAUAGAUUAUCAUGACCAUGGGCCAUGCACCAUAGACAGCAGACAGAAACAAAUAAAACUGUUUAUUAGAGUGUGCAAGGCUCAGAGUACUUGAUAAGCUAGAGUGGAAAAAAAUGGCUGCCACUCUUCCUGCUCCUGUGCUUUGACAAAUGUACUAUGUAAAGUGUUACCUUUGUUCUAUAAGUUUUGGGGAAAAAUGACUGAUUCAUUAAAGUUUAAAUUCCAAAUCCCGGACAACUCAGGUUCAGUGGACUAUGAGACAGGGUGUUUAUUCUGAGUUAAUAUUUACCAUGACAAAUGCGUCAAAACACCUUUUUUUCUUGGCAUCCACUAGCAGGUAGGUCAUGUGCACUCUAUGCCCAUGCAGUCCACCAUGUUUCAAAAAGUAUAGUAUAAAAUGUUUAAAGAAAUCUGUGUUGCUAAAUGUUUUGUCUUUUCUGUCAUAUGAUUCAUCUCACAGCUCCACAUACUUGGAAGACUUUGGUUUCAGUGUGUGGCAACAGCGGUUUCACUUUAGUGAUUUUAUGGUGCUGUGCUAGUAUGUUAGCACAGGCACCAUUUUGUGUGUGUGUGUGUGUGUGUGUGUGUGUGUGUGUGUGUGUGUGUGUGUGUGUGUGUGUGACAUGUGUGAAUUGAGCACAUUGACAAAAUCUGUACUACAUUCGGAGGCACUACCACUGCAUGAUUAGUAAUAGACUUCCAUCUGUCAGAACCAAAUGGGUGGAUUGAUCAUGCCUGCAGUCAUGCUGUAGGUAACUACAGAACUUACACUUGAGCUCCACAUUAUCCAUCUUUAUAUAGCUGUCUGGAAUAAAAUUUCAUGUUUCAAACACAUGUUUGUCAGGUUUUGAGAGUCUUUUAAUGUCACCCCAUUUGUGGUUUUAAAUGAGAACAGCCUUCUAUCGUCAAGCCGAUCUUCCAGCAGCAGCAUUAUGAUGCAGUAGUCGGGUCACAGCAUAGGUCAAACGUACACAUGUUUUGGUAAAAGUAAAACAUAAAUGCUUAACACUUUAGUUUAACAUUAACUAUAGUACCUCUAAAAGAACAUAUAAUAUCCCAUAAAUCUUCCCUUUAAAAGGCACCAUAUGAGUUCAGCAGAUCAUCACUUCUAUCUAUGACUUGGAUGGGCAUCUGAAUCAAUAUUCUGUAAACUCGCAGAAGAUGCCAUGGCUGGAGUUCCCAGGGGGUGCAUACACUCAUCGCCCCUCUCCACUGCUCUUCACAUCACAUCACACAGACAUUGACUCAUGUUCAUGUAUGACUUACAAAAUUGGAUCUGUUAUUGAUCACACACUAGCUAAUUUGAAGUGUGAAUCUAUUAAAACAAGGUGCCAGCAGCAGCAUUAUAGUGCACAAA